UCCUAUGAUGAGCAACAAUUAUUUCGCUGUGUUCUUACUGAACAUCAUUGAAGAAAAAAAAAUUUUCACCUUGGAGAACUGAUAU
This 85-nucleotide small nucleolar RNA is filed under the name Aspergillus parasiticus. RNAcentral's name for it is "A. fumigatus snoRNA Afu_294". It matches the Rfam family "A. fumigatus snoRNA Afu_294". RNAcentral also lists the same sequence under 2 other names. Lineage: Eukaryota; Fungi; Ascomycota; Eurotiomycetes; Eurotiales; Aspergillaceae. The record is from Rfam by way of RNAcentral.